Molecule: ribosomal RNA, 227 nt
Filed under: uncultured bacterium
Lineage: Bacteria
Description: partial 16S ribosomal RNA
Rfam family: Bacterial small subunit ribosomal RNA
Source: RNAcentral
CGGGUGAGUAAUGCAUAGGAAUCUACCCAGUAGCGGGGGACAACCUGGUGAAAACCAGGCUAAUACCGCAUACGCCCUACGGGGGAAAGCAGGGGAUCUUCGGACCUUGCACUAUUGGAUGAGCCUAUGUCAGAUUAGCUAGUUGGUGGGGUAAUGGCCCACCAAGGCGACGAUCUGUAGCUGGUUUGAGAGGAUGAUCAGCCACACUGGGACUGAGACACGGCCAG